This 322-nucleotide ribosomal RNA is filed under the name uncultured Pseudomonadota bacterium. RNAcentral describes it as "bacterial SSU rRNA". It matches the Rfam family "Bacterial small subunit ribosomal RNA", at positions 29 to 351 of the family's 1533-position model. The record is from RNAcentral. Lineage: Bacteria; Pseudomonadati; Pseudomonadota.
AACGAACGCUGGCGGCGUGCCUAACACAUGCAAGUCGAGCGGUCCAUGGGUUUCGGCCCAUGGGUAGCGGCAGACGGGUGAGUAACACGUGGGUAACCUGUCCUUGGGUGGGGGAUAACUACUCGAAAGGGUGGCUAAUACCGCAUAAGACCACGGCCUUGCGGGGCUGCGGUCAAAGGUGCAAAUCGCCUGAGGAGGGGCCCGCGGCCGAUUAGCUAGUUGGUGGGGUAAUGGCUCACCAAGGCGACGAUCGGUAGCUGGUCUGAGAGGAUGAUCAGCCACACUGGUACUGAGACACGGACCAGACUCCUACGGGUGGCAG